Molecule: ribosomal RNA, 497 nt
Filed under: uncultured bacterium
Lineage: Bacteria
Description: partial 16S ribosomal RNA
Rfam family: Bacterial small subunit ribosomal RNA
Source: RNAcentral
GACGAACGCUGGCGGCGUGCCUAAUACAUGCAAGUAGAACGCUGAAGAGAGGAGCUUACUCUUCUUGGAUGAGUUGCGAACGGGUGAGUAACGCGUAGGUAACCUGCCUUGUAGCGGGGGAUAACUAUUGGAAACGAUAGCUAAUACCGCAUAACAAUGGAUGACACAUGUCAUUUAUUUGAAAGGGGCAAUUGCUCCACUACAAGAUGGACCUGCGUUGUAUUAGCUAGUAGGUGAGGUAAUGGCCCACCUAGGCGACGAUACAUAGCCGACCUGAGAGGGUGAUCGGCCACACUGGGACUGAGACACGGCCCAGACUCCUACGGGAGGCAGCAGUAGGGAAUCUUCGGCAAUGGGGGCAACCCUGACCGAGCAACGCCGCGUGAGUGAAGAAGGUUUUCGGAUCGUAAAGCUCUGUUGUAAGUCAAGAACGGGUGUGAGAGUGGAAAGUUCACACUGUGACGGUAGCUUACCAGAAAGGGACGGCUAACUACGUG